GAUGAACGCUGGCGGCGUGCUUAACACAUGCAAGUCGAACGAUGAAGCCCAGCUUGCUGGGUGGAUUAGUGGCGAACGGGUGAGUAACACGUGAGUAACCUGCCCUUAACUCUGGGAUAAGCCUGGGAAACUGGGUCUAAUACCGGAUAGGAGCGUCCACCGCAUGGUGGGUGUUGGAAAGAUUUAUCGGUUUUGGAUGGACUCGCGGCCUAUCAGCUUGUUGGUGAGGUAAUGGCUCACCAAGGCGACGACGGGUAGCCGGCCUGAGAGGGUGACCGGCCACACUGGGACUGAGACACGGCCCAGACUCCUACGGGAGGCAGCAGUGGGGAAUAUUGCACAAUGGGCGCAAGCCUGAUGCAGCGACGCCGCGUGAGGGAUGACGGCCUUCCGGUUGUAAACCUCUUUCAGUAGGGAAAAAGCGAAAGUGACGGUACCUGCAGAAGAAGCACCGGCUAACUACGUGCCAGCAGCCGCGGUAAUACGUAGGGUGCGAGCGUUAUCCGGAAUUAUUUGGGCGUAAAGAGCUCGUAGGCGGUUUGUCGCGUCUGUCGUGAAAGUCCGGGGCUUAACCCCGGAUCUGCGGUGGGUACGGGCAGACUAGAGUGCAGUAGGGGAGACUGGAAUUCCUGGUGUAGCGGUGGAAUGCGCAGAUAUCAGGAGGAACACCGAUGGCGAAGGCAGGUCUCUGGGCUGUAACUGACGCUGAGGAGCGAAAGCAUGGGGAGCGAACAGGAUUAGAUACCCUGGUAGUCCAUGCCGUAAACGUUGGGCACUAGGUGUGGGGACCAUUCCACGGUUUCCGCGCCGCAGCUAACGCAUUAAGUGCCCCGCCUGGGGAGUACGGCCGCAAGGCUAAAACUCAAAGGAAUUGACGGGGGCCCGCACAAGCGGCGGAGCAUGCGGAUUAAUUCGAUGCAACGCGAAGAACCUUACCAAGGCUUGACAUGUUCUCGAUCGCCGUAGAGAUACGGUUUCCCCUUUGGGGCGGGUUCACAGGUGGUGCAUGGUUGUCGUCAGCUCGUGUCGUGAGAUGUUGGGUUAAGUCCCGCAACGAGCGCAACCCUCGUUCCAUGUUGCCAGCACGUAAUGGUGGGGACUCAUGGGAGACUGCCGGGGUCAACUCGGAGGAAGGUGAGGACGACGUCAAAUCAUCAUGCCCCUUAUGUCUUGGGCUUCACGCAUGCUACAAUGGCCGGUACAAUGAGUUGCGAUACUGUGAGGUGGAGCUAAUCCCAAAAAGCCGGUCUCAGUUCGGAUUGGGGUCUGCAACUCGACCCCAUGAAGUCGGAGUCGCUAGUAAUCGCAGAUCAGCAACGCUGCGGUGAAUACGUUCCCGGGCCU
Molecule: ribosomal RNA, 1344 nt
Filed under: uncultured bacterium
Lineage: Bacteria
Description: bacterial SSU rRNA
Rfam family: Bacterial small subunit ribosomal RNA
Source: RNAcentral